Molecule: ribosomal RNA, 539 nt
Filed under: Bacillus amyloliquefaciens
Lineage: Bacteria; Bacillati; Bacillota; Bacilli; Caryophanales; Bacillaceae
Description: bacterial SSU rRNA
Rfam family: Bacterial small subunit ribosomal RNA
Source: RNAcentral
CCGGGGCUAAUACCGGAUGGUUGUCUGAACCGCAUGGUUCAGACAUAAAAGGUGGCUUCGGCUACCACUUACAGAUGGACCCGCGGCGCAUUAGCUAGUUGGUGAGGUAACGGCUCACCAAGGCGACGAUGCGUAGCCGACCUGAGAGGGUGAUCGGCCACACUGGGACUGAGACACGGCCCAGACUCCUACGGGAGGCAGCAGUAGGGAAUCUUCCGCAAUGGACGAAAGUCUGACGGAGCAACGCCGCGUGAGUGAUGAAGGUUUUCGGAUCGUAAAGCUCUGUUGUUAGGGAAGAACAAGUGCCGUUCAAAUAGGGCGGCACCUUGACGGUACCUAACCAGAAAGCCACGGCUAACUACGUGCCAGCAGCCGCGGUAAUACGUAGGUGGCAAGCGUUGUCCGGAAUUAUUGGGCGUAAAGGGCUCGCAGGCGGUUUCUUAAGUCUGAUGUGAAAGCCCCCGGCUCAACCGGGGAGGGUCAUUGGAAACUGGGGAACUUGAGUGCAGAAGAGGAGAGUGGAAUUCCACGUGUAGCGG